AUACGGAGGGUGCAAGCGUUAUCCGGAAUCAUUGGGUUUAAAGGGUCCGUAGGCGGGCAAAUAAGUCAGAGGUGAAAUCCCACAGCUUAACUGUGGAACUGCCUUUGAUACUGUUUGUCUUGAGUUAUAGUGAAGUAGAUAGAAUAUGUAGUGUAGCGGUGAAAUGCAUAGAUAUUACAUAGAAUACCGAUUGCGAAGGCAGUCUACUAACUAUUGACUGACGCUAAUGGACGAAAGCGUGGGGAGCGAACAGGAUUAGAAACCCGUGUAGUCC
RNAcentral lists this ribosomal RNA (274 nucleotides) under uncultured bacterium. RNAcentral's name for it is "partial 16S ribosomal RNA". It matches the Rfam family "Bacterial small subunit ribosomal RNA", at positions 523 to 796 of the family's 1533-position model. The record is from RNAcentral.